GGAUGCGAUCAUAUCAACACUAACGCACCGGAUCCCAUCAGAACUCCAAGUUAAGCGUGCUUGGGCGAGAGUAGUACUAGGAUGGGUGGCCCCCUGGGAAGUCCUCGUGUUGCAUCCC
This 118-nucleotide ribosomal RNA is filed under the name Solanum tuberosum (potato). The record is from RNAcentral. Lineage: Eukaryota; Viridiplantae; Streptophyta; Magnoliopsida; Solanales; Solanaceae.